AAAGAGAUGACAGAAAACAUGUAUUUGGCUUGAAACCAAAAGAUGGAAGUUAAAAUCUUCCUCUCUUUU
RNAcentral lists this transfer RNA (69 nucleotides) under Comatella stelligera. RNAcentral describes it as "tRNA-Ser". It matches the Rfam family "tRNA". From Rfam's summary of the family: Transfer RNA (tRNA) molecules are approximately 80 nucleotides in length. Lineage: Eukaryota; Metazoa; Echinodermata; Crinoidea; Comatulida; Comatulidae. The record is from RNAcentral.